Molecule: ribosomal RNA, 749 nt
Filed under: Enterobacteriaceae bacterium DHL-40
Lineage: Bacteria; Pseudomonadati; Pseudomonadota; Gammaproteobacteria; Enterobacterales; Enterobacteriaceae
Description: bacterial SSU rRNA
Rfam family: Bacterial small subunit ribosomal RNA
Source: RNAcentral
GUCAGAUGAACGCUGGCGGCAGGCCUAACACAUGCAAGUCGAACGGUAACAGGAAGCAGCUUGCUGCUUCGCUGACGAGUGGCGGACGGGUGAGUAAUGUCUGGGAAACUGCCUGAUGGAGGGGGAUAACUACUGGAAACGGUAGCUAAUACCGCAUAACGUCGCAAGACCAAAGAGGGGGACCUUCGGGCCUCUUGCCAUCGGAUGUGCCCAGAUGGGAUUAGCUAGUAGGUGGGGUAACGGCUCACCUAGGCGACGAUCCCUAGCUGGUCUGAGAGGAUGACCAGCCACACUGGAACUGAGACACGGUCCAGACUCCUACGGGAGGCAGCAGUGGGGAAUAUUGCACAAUGGGCGCAAGCCUGAUGCAGCCAUGCCGCGUGUAUGAAGAAGGCCUUCGGGUUGUAAAGUACUUUCAGCGGGGAGGAAGGGAGUAAAGUUAAUACCUUUGCUCAUUGACGUUACCCGCAGAAGAAGCACCGGCUAACUCCGUGCCAGCAGCCGCGGUAAUACGGAGGGUGCAAGCGUUAAUCGGAAUUACUGGGCGUAAAGCGCACGCAGGCGGUUUGUUAAGUCAGAUGUGAAAUCCCCGGGCUCAACCUUGGGAACUGCAUCUGAUACUGGCAAGCUUGAGUCUCGUAGAGGGGGGUAGAAUUCCAGGUGUAGCGGUGAAAUGCGUAGAGAUCUGGAGGAAUACCGGUGGCGAAGGCGGCCCCCUGGACGAUACUGACGCUCAGGUGCGAAGCGUG